GUAGGUGAACCUGCGGAAGGAUCAUUAACACGUAUCCAAACGUUAAAACCCCCCUGUGAACCUUCAACACCAAUAAGGGUCCUGCAAAUAGUUCGGGGCAACCCCUAGUAAAUCAUUGUCUGAUCCAGAUUUUGAGUUAGGGGCUUCUCUGGGCACCGCGGUGAGCAGGUUUAGCUAUUUACGUCCCUGGCGGCUCUGAAGUGACUUCCACUGAAACCUUGGUUGUC
RNAcentral lists this unclassified non-coding RNA (227 nucleotides) under rhizosphere metagenome. RNAcentral's name for it is "partial ribosomal RNA internal transcribed spacer region". The record is from RNAcentral.